Non-coding RNA from Aegilops tauschii subsp. strangulata, 3074 nucleotides. Lineage: Eukaryota; Viridiplantae; Streptophyta; Magnoliopsida; Poales; Poaceae. The record is from RefSeq and is a predicted model, not a curated record.
GUGCUCCUUUUUGAAGUGGCAGCACACACGAGCAGAUGCGUGCUCUCCUCGCUGCGUACAGGCGGCGCCGCCGCGGGCGCUCCUCGAUCUAUACGGGCGGCGCCGCCGCCACCUGCGGCUGGUCUUCUUCUCCAGCCAUCUGCCGCCCUUCUCUCCUCCCAAUUCGCUGCCCUCCUCUACACUCCCGCCCCUAAUCUUCUCUGGCCCUACCCCAGCCUCCUUGAUCUCCAGCCUCCUGCUGCCGUGCCUCGAUCCAUACGGGCGUCGGCGCCGCCGCCGGCUGGUCUUCUUCUCCGGACAUCCGCCGCCCUCCUCCCCUCCCCCUCCCCCCUAAUCUUCUUCUUCUUCUCCGGCCAUCCGUCGCCCUCCUCAAAUCCCGCGGAGUUCGCCGGAGGAAGAACAUCCGCCGUCCGAACGUGCUACACCAGGGCGAAGCACCGGAAAGAGGACGUUUCUAUGCAGCAUAACCCAAAAGUUUAAUUUGAGGUUGUACAGAGGAUUUCCCUUGUUUCAGGUUGUACAGAGGAGCUCAACGACAACUGAGGUGCUGCUAGAAUUAUAUCAGCUACUAACUUACGUACAUAUAAAAAAAACUGCAGGUCUAGCUCCAUGUAGUAAUGACUAAGUAUAUUCUAAUGCUCAUAGGUACUGAUUACUAUUUUUUACAGGCUAGUUUAAUCAAUUCAUUGGCGUACUUUAGGAAACAAGGAUAUAUUGGGUGGUCUCCGACCGCCCGUCGACAAUACAGAGUCGUCGUAGUUGGGUUGUGUUCAUGUAACACUGAAACUUGACAUAGUUAAUAUAAGAAGAAAUCUCUUUUCCAGAAACUCCAAUUCUGCUCAUAGGAAUUGAGAUGCCCAAUAUUUCUCAAUUUGCUGACAAGGCUGUAAUAUAUGUAUGCUUUACACAUGUCGAUCCAUUGGAAGAGUAUUUUCAAGGAUUCUGCUGCUUACUAAUUGUUUACAUCCAUUGCACAAACUAAGUGGUAGGGGGACUGUUCCCUCUCAUUAGAGCUAAAACAUAUCUUCGUAUUUUUAUAAGGUAUUUCUCCCCAAAAUUUUACCCAAACCUUUCCCAUGAAGUAAUAUAUUUCAAUAUGUUUUUAAACUUCUAAUUAGGUACAAUACAUUAUUGUUGUGGUGUUGAUCAUAUUAACCACGAAACAAGGUUUUUAUUUGUUUGAGUUUUUAUCCUGUAAUAAUAUAAUCUCAAAAUUAAUAAAGUCGCCAUGAUGGCUUUUCCUCACAAAAAAAAUCCUCACAAUCGAGUACUAGCAUCGGGGUGUGGCUCAUCGGGGUUCAGCAGAUGAACUGAUGAACACAGCAGGAAAGGAGGCUGAGGAGGGAUAGACUCUUUUUAUUGGCCGGGUUGUGGUGAGAACAUAAGAGAGAGCAUCGGGGUGUGGCUCAUUGCUUCAUAUGCUGCUACCGAUAUAUGUAGAGUGGUAAUAGACGGCGAGAUUGGAUAGUGCUCAUAUGACAGUCGGACCAUUGUCCUUUCUGUGAUGAGUUAGAGAAUAUUGCUCUCAUGUGUUAAUCAGCUGAUCCUCCUUAGCCUUCCCGUGGUCUGAACUUCAAAGUUUUCAUCCACUCAAUGCUGAUUCAGUCAAAGAUCUGUGAGAAGAAACUUAUUUCAACAAGAUUCACUCUACUUUGCUUAUCGCGGUCCUCUGGAAUAUAUGGAAGCGCAGGAACUCCAAGUUCUUCCGGGAUGUUUUUGAGGAAUUGCACAUUACUGCUAGCAAGAUUGCUGAUGAUCUUAUGUUGUGGUCCAACAGUUUUAUGAAGUGGUUCAGGCCGGUGUAAGCACGCUAUUGUCCCUGAAAAAAAUCCGGCGAGUGAUGCCUCACCCUCUCUGAACUGAAUAUUAUGUGCUUUUGUACUACUCGAAGAAGCCAAACACAGUGAAGCAUCUCUGUUGGCUAGCAUCCCUGAUGGGAAAUUUGUUGUCUUGCUGAUGGAGAGAUGGAGUUGGAGUGGCGGCUCAAAACUCUAAUCUUGUUGUCUUGUUCGGUGAAGUGAUUGCAACAUUGUUUUGUUUUGUUCUAUGCAUGCUUCCAUGCCGGUUGAAGUGAUUCUGCCAGUCAAUUGUAUGAACUUAAGUUACCUGUGUCAUAUGAGACUGCUGCUACUAGGAACUCUUAGGUUAUCAUUUAUUUUUAUGGGUAUACUCAUGGCCUGAUGCAUUAUAUGGCUAUUAUUUGUGUCAACUUUAGUGUUACUAUAACUUUUAUUUUUGUUGUAACUGUAGAAAAAUAGAUGGCAGAACUGAACAUUGCAGAGGAUUUUGAUAACCGACCUUAAAAAAAAGCAAAAAUUUCUGAAUCAGGUGUUUUGGAGCCAUCACCUACGUCACCAACUAUGAAACAUUAUCUCCAGUUUCUGAAUGUUUUGGAUAAAUCGUGCCGGGAUCAGAUAAUCAAAUAGAUCGUGAUCCAUUGCCAUCAACUCCGUCCGCAACUAUCUCGACAUUACCUCUGAUUUUUGAAUUGAUGCAUGAAAGAAAAGUUUCAUUACAUGAUGAUAAGGAACAAGAUGUGAACAUAAACAAAUCAAAGUUGAUGAGACAUAUGAUUAUCUCCCACAAGGCACUUUGGUGUCUCAGCAACCAGGUCGCCACCGACCACCACGAUGGCUCACCGCGAUGCCCUCCCGCCACCCUAUAUACGACACCAGUGGCGAGAUGGGCGGGAUCUUUUUGGCGUGCCGGCACACAGGAACGACACACACCAUACAACCUGAAGGAUACGUUCAUCAGGCUUGACAUGACCCUCACCGAUGCCGCAUUGCCGCUUCUGUUGCUGGAGAUCAGCCAAAGAGUUAGCUUGUUGCCGCUUUGCUUCAAUGGUUGCUUCAAUGCUCUUCGACUCUCCGUAAUGAGCAGCUGAUGGUGCUUGGACGAAACAAUUGAUCGGGAAAUGGGUAGUGUUGUGCUGGUGGUCAUGUAUCAGCCCACUAUCUAUAAAACACCUAAGAUGAUUCUUCAGGACCCGAUAUAUUCCAAUUACUCAUUUGGGUCUUCUUACUGUGAUACAUGGUUUUACUUAGUAAUCUUAAGAUCAAUUUGUUCGUUUA